This 460-nucleotide ribosomal RNA is filed under the name uncultured bacterium. RNAcentral describes it as "partial 16S ribosomal RNA". It matches the Rfam family "Bacterial small subunit ribosomal RNA", at positions 338 to 795 of the family's 1533-position model. The record is from RNAcentral.
CCUACGGGAGGCAGCAGUGAGGAAUAUUGGUCAAUGGACGAGAGUCUGAACCAGCCAAGUAGCGUGAAGGAUGACUGCCCUAUGGGUUGUAAACUUCUUUUAUAUGGGAAUAAAAUGUUCCACGUGUGGGCUUUUGUAUGUACCAUAUGAAUAAGGAUCGGCUAACUCCGUGCCAGCAGCCGCGGUAAUACGGAGGAUCCGAGCGUUAUCCGGAUUUAUUGGGUUUAAAGGGAGCGUAGGUGGAUUGUUAAGUCAGUUGUGAAAGUUUGCGGCUCAACCGUAAAAUUGCAGUUGAAACUGGCAGUCUUGAGGACAGUAGAGGUGGGCGGAAUUCGUGGUGUAGCGGUGAAAUGCUUAGAUAUCACGAAGAACUCCGAUUGCGAAGGCAGCUCACUGGACUGCAACUGACACUGAGGCUCGAAAGUGUGGGUAUCAAACAGGAUUAGAUACCCGAGUAGUC